RNAcentral lists this non-coding RNA (24 nucleotides) under Arabidopsis thaliana (thale cress). Lineage: Eukaryota; Viridiplantae; Streptophyta; Magnoliopsida; Brassicales; Brassicaceae. The record is from RNAcentral.
UUGGUGGCAUUUUGAAUGGUAUUC